CAAAGAACAAGACAGCGGCUGAGAGCUCGUUCAAAGUGCUUUCACCAGAGCCCCCAGGCUGAGAGCAAGAAAGAAGAACUUCUGUCCCAAGGACGCUAGAAAGAGAAGUGUUACUGUGCCAGCUGGGGCACCAUGCUCGCUCUUCCCAAGUCAGCUUCCAGGGAUCCGGGCCCCGUUCUAACACUUGCCUCGAACAUGAAAGAACUGUCCUGCAUGUUCAUGGGAGGGAAAUCCAGCCAGCUGGACU
Molecule: long non-coding RNA, 247 nt
Organism: Mustela erminea (ermine)
Lineage: Eukaryota; Metazoa; Chordata; Mammalia; Carnivora; Mustelidae
Exons: 3
Source: RefSeq, a predicted model, not a curated record